GAAAUGCGAUAAGUAGUGUGAAUUGCAGAAUUCAGUGAAUCAUCGAAUCUUUGAACGCACAUUGCGCCCCUCGGUAUUCCGUGGGGCAUGCCUGUUCGAGCGUCAUCUACACCCUCAAGCUCUGCUUGGUGUUGGGCGUCUGUCCCGCCUCCUUCGCGCGCGGACUCGCCCCAAAUCCAUUGGCGGCGGCCCUUGCCUCCCUCUCGCGCAGCACAUUGCGCUUCUCGAGGCGCGGCGGACCGCGUCCAGUAAGCAACCGUCACACCGUCUUUGACCUCGGAUCAGGUAGGGAUACCCGCUGAACUUAAGC
RNAcentral lists this unclassified non-coding RNA (310 nucleotides) under plant metagenome. RNAcentral describes it as "partial contains 5.8S ribosomal RNA, internal transcribed spacer 2, and large subunit ribosomal RNA". The stretch from base 1 to 105 matches the Rfam family "5.8S ribosomal RNA", at positions 50 to 154 of the family's 154-position model. The record is from RNAcentral.